AUGGCUCAGGAUGAACGCUAGCUACAGGCUUAACACAUGCAAGUCGAGGGGUAGCAGGGUAGCAAUACCGCUGACGACCGGCGCACGGGUGAGUAACACGUAUCCAACCUUCCCAUAACUCAGGGAUAGCCUUUCGAAAGAAAGAUUAAUACCUGAUAGUACUUUUUCAAGGCAUCUUGAGAAAGUUAAAGAUUUAUUGGUUAUGGAUGGGGAUGCGUUCCAUUAGAUAGUUGGUGAGGUAACGGCUCACCAAGUCUUCGAUGGAUAGGGGUUCUGAGAGGAAGGUCCCCCACAUUGGUACUGAGACACGGACCAAACUCCUACGGGAGACAGCAGUGAGGAAUAUUGGUCAAUGGGCGAGAGCCUGAACCAGCCAAGUAGCGUGAAGGAUGAAGGUCCUAUGGAUUGUAAACUUCUUUUAUAGUAGAAUAAAGUGAUCCACGUGUGGAUUUUUGUAUGUAUACUAUGAAUAAGGAUCGGCUAACUCCGUGCCAGCAGCCGC
This 502-nucleotide ribosomal RNA is filed under the name uncultured bacterium. RNAcentral describes it as "bacterial SSU rRNA". It matches the Rfam family "Bacterial small subunit ribosomal RNA", at positions 19 to 518 of the family's 1533-position model. The record is from RNAcentral.